GGGGUUUUUAUAAGGUUUUUGACAUGCUUAACUAACUAUUCUUAUGCAUUAAAGUUUGAAUUGCUGACUCUUGCUACUCUUACCAGUGCUCAGGGCCUAACCAUGAAUAUCAGCCUGAAAUGUGUGUGUGUUAAAGAGAGCGCUGUACUGUAUGAAAUAUGUGUGUGUAUGCAACAAAUGUAUCAGUAGUGUGGGCGCUGUACUAUGUGACCGAGACUGUGCUAAUCUUAGAGAGACACAGGAGGGGGGUGAAUCAGGAGACUGCUGAAUAGACAAUAACAGAUAAACUAUACACACGAAAAACAUGUGAGGUUCUGAGUUAUGCACUAUAACCCAAUACUAUAACAAACGUGAUUAGCAACUAUAUCAUAUGUGAUUGAAUAUUGUAUUGUAUGUGAUUGAAUACUAUAACAAAUGUGAUUUGAUAUUGACAAACUGUUUGAGCGCCUGGAUGUCUGUGUGUGUGUGCUGGAAGUAACAGUUAGCUCAGAUAAGAAGCUGGGAAGCUGUAGUUAGCCUUGAGCGAGAACAGAGGACAAUGCAUACAGGUGCAGAUAUCUCAGACAAUGUUAUAAAACUGUCUGACCUCAGUCUUUGGGGUGAAGGAGCGUAAUCUACACAGCAACAGUAUCGGGACAUCAUAUGCGCUAAGGGGCCAGGACUGGCUUAAGGUGCCAACAUCAACGAUAGGCUGGGUGAGUCUAAACCACGCCCAGUCUCUACUCUGACAGGCCGGCUCGGAAGCGGGAAACAAUCUCUGUCACGAGUAUAAAAUAUUAUCUUUGUCAGAAACAAAUCAGUUCUCUGUCUUAUCCUGCGUGAUGAAACAUUGAACCCGUAUAUACGGAAAUUGUAUUUGCCAUUUAUUAACUUUUGAAUUAAACAAUUAUUUUAACCAAGUUCAGGUGUUCCUAUCUCAGUUGAACUUUCGCAACCCUAACAAAUGGUGACCCCGACGUGAUCUGAGGGAACUUCGCUGGACAUUGAGGCAUCCAGCCUUUGGCCUAGACUGUCGCCAGAUGGGGUCCUCUCACAAAAAGCCCGGGUCUACUAAAAAACAGGUAAGCAGAGCCUAUUGUUUCAAAACUGAAAUUCUGCAUAUUGGACUUAACCAAAUUUAUUUUGUGAGAAAACCUAACUGGUGUAAGUUGCUAAAUUUUGAACCAUAUGUUCACCACAACAAAGUAAGGAUAAAACUAACUACGUAUUAUUUAAUUACGUACUACUUGAUGGCGAAUGCAUUUUCAAUUGGCCAACAGAAUGACAAUGGAAUGACUGUGUGUAUGACGUGAUAUUAAAAGCCUGUUUGUGUGUGUGUAUGUAUCUAAGCUAGGGUUGUUUUAUUAAAAGUCUUAUAUAUAAGACUUUAGGGAAGUGAUUGAGGACAAUGGCCACAUAACCACCGUGAAUGGCGGAAUAUUGGAAAUAAGACAAGUUCUAAUAAUUGAACGGCAAUAUACCGGGUUCACGGAUUUUUAUGUAUUUACAUGGUAUGUGGGAUAUAAGACAAAUUGUCGAUUAAUAAGUCUAGGUGGACCCUCGACUAAAAGUGGACGGCAACAUAGUCCAGGGGAAGGCAGAAGUAUUGGAUAUAAGACAAGUCUAGGUGGACCCUCGACGGCAAUACACUGUAUAAGACAAGUCCCCUGUUACAAGUAAACGGCAAAGCGUUGGUGAAGAGAGGUUAGGUUAUAUGCGCAAAUGAUCUAACGGCAAUGUUUUGGAGAUAAGACAAGUUUACUGAUUGAAAAAGACGUGUUGGAUAUAAGACAAGUCACACUGUAUGUCUGUUGCUUUAUGAUUGUAUCCCUCUGUAUGUACUGUAUCAGGCUUUUAUGUGAAGGGGAGUAAGGACAUAUAUACAUAACGUAACCAUAUAUACUCAAGUUACACAUUAACCACAGACUAUAAUCUCACAUUAUUUGUCACGGACACUCUAGUCUAACUAGGUAAUAACAGAUAAAAACAAAAAUUAUAAAACAAAAGUUAUAAUAAGAAACUAAUAUGGCUCAAAUUGAGUAGGUUGAAUGAGAGUGGGUGGAGAGCUGUACAGAGAAUGGACAGAAGAUGGCAGUAUUGCAGCGCUCAGCGUGCUCCCAGUCGACGGGGAGCCUGUUUGAGUGCUGGUCACAUAACAGAAAACUUAAAAACAAUUCGGAGUAGAGAGAAUACAGUUAAUAACUUAUUUAGGUUAAAUUUUGGUACGUUUACACUUUGGAGUAGAGAAAGUUGAGAAGUUGAUUUUACUUAUACGAUAGUUUUGAUGCAAAACUCAGUUGGAGUAAGUAGAUGUUUUGCCUAGAGGCAUGAAUAAGACAGUUAGUUUUGGUAUUGUAUCUACUAAUCAGUGUAUGUUGCUGGAGACAGGAUGAUUUGUUUUGUAACGACGUAAAAUAACGUCACUAGGGGGGAUACACGAUUACGUUACUCGAAUGGAUUUGGUCAUUGUUCAGGUACACUAUUUCCUUUACUUCUUGCAGUAUAGUUUUGAUUAAGAGAUGUUGAUUGACGUUGUAUAUUCUAUUCAAGAUCCAACCUUUGUGAUAAAUUGGGUUUGGUUUAUCGAAUCCGUACUAUUGCCUGUUGCAGUUAGUUAACAGUGAGAGAAAAUGUGUGUUUGCGUUCACUUUUCAAAAGUGGCUAAAAGUUAUUGGUUUUUGUUUAGGUAACACCAGGGAUUUCGAACAAAAAGUAAACGUAGUCUAAACGUGAUCUGUUUUCAUUAUGGUGAACAAUGACCGGCCCGCAAACUGGUAUGGCUGGCUGGGAAUUUUUAAAGGGACAGUACACGUUUAUCACAGUUGUGUGAAUGAGUUACAUGAAACAUCGGGGAAAUUUAAAACGAAUGAUUUGAGGGUAUUAUCAUAAUUAUUAGUUUUUGUUUUUGUGGUAAACGUUUGGGUUAAGGGGUUUUCCAUGUUCCCGAGAGACAAGAUAAUAUUAGGAGUUUUACUUUCUGAGUUUUAUUUAGACAAGGGAUUUUUUAAGAUAAAGGGUUCUUUUGAUAUGUCUAGACAUGGGAUGGAACACGAAUGUAGGUGUAACCUUUUUGACCUAUUUUCGUUGCAUUUUCCUGUGAUUUGAUCACUCACAGGGAAAUGUAGUGAGAGUAAUGCAAUUGUGGUCAUUUGGGAAUACUAGUUCUGAGGUAAAUUGAUUAUAAUAGAGUUUAUAACUCUUGAACAUAAUUGUAGUUUGAACCACUGAGGAGUCAGGAUUCUGUUUUUAAACAUUGGUUAUGAAGGUUUUGAAUUGGCUAUUAUUGUUUUGGUAUUACAGCAGAAAAAAUCCCAUUUGUCAUCGAUAAUAAAUAUGGGAUGAUAUGAUACAUUGAGGUUUGAACAGGAGAUAUUUUAAGCCAAUAGGGCAGGAAAGUAAUAGGUUUCAGUUCUUAGAGGAGUGAUCCUGGGGGGAGAGAGCUUAUUUAAAUAGUAAGGACUUUAGAGAUUGACACUAUAAGACAUGUUGUUGUUAUUUUUAAAUCCAUGAUAAAGUCAAAAGUGAGACACUUAGUUAAUAUUUAUUAGAAAAAGGCAGACAGAUGGGUCUACCCCGCACUGUUGAGACCUUGAAGGUUUGAGAGCAGAGUGGGGAGGGGGGACCAGGAAAUGAGCAAGGUAGGCUGUAAAAUAAGAUAGGACAGAAGGGGGUUAACAUAUAUAAGCAGCACAGAUACAUUUUAAAGUAGAUAAGUCACUUGACAGAGAAUUGGAAAAGUAUAGAUAUGAAUGGACGCCCAAGGUACAAUUGGACAUGUGGAAAAUGAAAGGGGCGUUCCUGUUGUAUAAUGUAGAACAUAAGAAUAUUUUACUACUCAUAAUUAAGUCCUUAUUUAGAGUAGGUAAGGUUGUUACCUGGCCAGAGCCAGGUAUCAAACGGGGGAGGGGUACAUUGUGGACUAGGAUAGGAUGGGGCCUAUUGGAUAAUAAACUAAUAAAAAAAAAAUAUAUAUAUAUAAAAAAAAAAAAAAUUCUAGCUAAUAAAUAGGCAUAGAAGUUAAAUAUAUAAUCAGAUAGAACAAAUGACAAACUGUUUGUUAACCAAACCUGUAUGUCCAAGAUUUUAUGCACUACAGGUGAAUUACAGGUGAACUCACUCAAUCCAGUCCCUGAGGCCUGUUGGGGGGACCAUACCAAGGACUCCUGGUAACAGCUAGCUGAAGUAGCUACCCGGAUUCAUAUCACACUGCGGGAGGGUAAGACACAUUGACACUGUCGAACAAGCACAGUGUCCGAGAGGAGAACUGGAAUUAACAGAAUUCUGGGGGCCAUCUCUCGGAUGAAAAUUUCCUUUUCCCGUCAUUCCAUCCCUGUGUUUGUUCAUAGAAGUGAAAGUGUGUCUGGCUUCUUGCUGAUGAUGUGUUCUCUGGGAGAGGGUGGGGCUUUACAGGAUUGCUUGUGGUCCUGAGUUGUCUGUUUAGGAUACGAUGGGGAUGUUGCCAUCACAGUACUGCCAGAACCACCACCAGUUCCAACAGACCAGGUUCAGCCGGCCUCCUCCACCACUUCAAGACCAAGUCCCACACCACCACCUAAGCUCUCCAAUCUGGUACAGAAGUCCGUCCCCAGAAGACACCAUGGGGGUUAAGGCAUAUGGGGGAUAUUACAGCUGUAACACUGGUACAGGUAGAGGUAUGGACUAUGGGAGGUUCCCUGCUGCUGCCUGCAUCACUAAUGUCACUAUUAACUAGAGGUGUUGCUGAUGUAUGGUGGAUGUGAGGACCUGCCAGGCGGUUGACCCCAAUUUUGAAAGGAGAUUGUCAGGGAACAUGUGUUUUGGCCAGUCUGAUAAACACCAUUGCCUAUUAUUGAGGUUACAGCUGACCAACUUUUGGGAGCUGCACAUGACAGAGGCUUGGGACCAACCCAGGAGACGGCAGAAACGUGACGCUCCUUGGUCCGAGGGAACAGAUAACAUCCACACCAACCUGUUGGGGUCCCAAUAGGGGUUCCCCACGAAUUCCAGACAUUAAACAGGAAUGAUGGCCUGUGGCAUUUAUUGCCCAUUAUUGGCCCAGCUAUUGUUGAUGCUAAACAGAAUGCCUGGAUCAAUUAUAUCUGGUAUAAUCAACAAUGAUUUGUUAACUACACCCACACUGCACUUACAGGGAUAGCUGAACAAUUGGAUGCCACCUCGUAGACAAAAUAGACUAGCACUAGACAUGAUUCUGGCCAACCAGGGGGGUGUUUGUAAAAUGUUUGGAGAACAAUGUUGCACGUUUAUCCCUAACAAUACCAGUCUGGAUGGGAGCAUUUCAAAAGAUCUGAGCGGGUUGGAGAAGUUAUCUGUGGAGAUGAAGGAUCUUGCAGGUGUGGAGGAGAGUGGACUGUUCUCCUGGCUGGGUGGUUGGUUUGGUGAGUGCACUGUAUCGAUGGUUACUGGAUUUCUGACCCUAAUUGUAUUUUGCUAUGUUUUCUGUUGUGCUGCUUGCAUUUUACCUUGUGCCAAGAAAUCUAUUGCAGAUGCUGCUAAGGCCUCUGGCAUGAUGCCCCUGCUUGCGGCUAGUGGGGAGGAUGCUGAGACCAAUGAACAGAUGGGGUUGACUGAGGGUGACCCAUGGUUUGCUGUAAAAGAGGUUUAUCCUCAAUCAUUCGUUAUAAUAAUAACACUGUUCUCCCUAAGAAGGUUAUAAGUUCCUGGGUGGUAACGAGCCCACCUAGUAUAUGGAAAAGGGAUGGAAUUUUUAUUGGUUGUGACACCUUACAGGUGUCAAACGGGGGAAUCAAAAAUAAAAAUGUCAAUCAAAAAUGUUUAAGUAAUAAAAAUGUCUAUGUUAAUCAAAAAUUGUUUAUGUUGACACCUAUAGGUGUCAAACGGGGGAUUGUGGGGUUUUUAUAAGGUUUUUGACAUGCUUAACUAACUAUUCUUAUGCAUUAAAGUUUGAAUUGCUGACUCUUGCUACUCUUACCAGUGCUCAGGGCCUAACCAUGAAUAUCAGCCUGAAAUGUGUGUGUGUUAAAGAGAGCGCUGUACUGUAUGAAAUAUGUGUGUGUAUGCAACAAAUGUAUCAGUAGUGUGGGCGCUGUACUAUGUGACCGAGACUGUGCUAAUCUUAGAGAGACACAGGAGGGGGGUGAAUCAGGAGACUGCUGAAUAGACAAUAACAGAUAAACUAUACACACGAAAAACAUGUGAGGUUCUGAGUUAUGCACUAUAACCCAAUACUAUAACAAACGUGAUUAGCAACUAUAUCAUAUGUGAUUGAAUAUUGUAUUGUAUGUGAUUGAAUACUAUAACAAAUGUGAUUUGAUAUUGACAAACUGUUUGAGCGCCUGGAUGUCUGUGUGUGUGUGCUGGAAGUAACAGUUAGCUCAGAUAAGAAGCUGGGAAGCUGUAGUUAGCCUUGAGCGAGAACAGAGGACAAUGCAUACAGGUGCAGAUAUCUCAGACAAUGUUAUAAAACUGUCUGACCUCAGUCUUUGGGGUGAAGGAGCGUAAUCUACACAGCAACAGUAUCGGGACAUCAUAUGCGCUAAGGGGCCAGGACUGGCUUAAGGUGCCAACAUCAACGAUAGGCUGGGUGAGUCUAAACCACGCCCAGUCUCUACUCUGACAGGCCGGCUCGGAAGCGGGAAACAAUCUCUGUCACGAGUAUAAAAUAUUAUCUUUGUCAGAAACAAAUCAGUUCUCUGUCUUAUCCUGCGUGAUGAAACAUUGAACCCGUAUAUACGGAAAUUGUAUUUGCCAUUUAUUAACUUUUGAAUUAAACAAUUAUUUUAACCAA
Molecule: long non-coding RNA, 6724 nt
Organism: Salvelinus fontinalis (brook trout)
Lineage: Eukaryota; Metazoa; Chordata; Actinopteri; Salmoniformes; Salmonidae
Exons: 2
Source: RefSeq, a predicted model, not a curated record